AUGUGGUCAAGCUAGAUAAGGGUGCAUGGUGGAUGCCUAGGCGUCCACAGGCGAAGAAAGACGUGGCAGCCUGCGAUAAGCUCCGGGGAGUUGGCAAACAAGCGUUGAUCCGGAGAUGUCUGAAUGGGGAAACCCCGCGUCGCUGAACAGGCGGCGUGACCGCGGCAUGAAUGCAUAGUGUCGUGGAGCCUACCCAGGGAACUGAAACAUCUCAGUACCUGGAGGAAAGGAAAUCAACCGAGACUCCGUCAGUAGCGGCGAGCGAACGCGGACAUAGCCCAAACCAGUCUUCGGACUGGGGUUGCGGGGCCUCGAGGAGUUACAAAAGCGCGAUCAGCGGAACAGUCUGGAAAGGCUGACAACAUAGGGUGACAGUCCCGUACGCGACGAUCGAUGCUCUCCGUUGAGAGGAUUCCCAGAGUAGCGCGGAUGCCGUGAAACUCCGCGUGAAGCCGGGGGGCCCACCCUCCAAGGCUAAGUACUCGUGGACGACCGAUAGAGAACAAGUAAGGCGACUGAAAGGUGAAAAGAACCGCAAUAAGCGGAGUAAAAAGAACCUGAAACCAUGCAUCUACAAGCAGUCAGAGACCUAUACCCCGCAAGGGGAAUGGUCGAUGGCGUACCUUUUGCAUAAUGGACCGGCGAGUUACUCCUCUGUGGCAAGGCUAAACCGCGCACGCGGUGGAGCCGUAGCGAAAGCGAGUCUGAAUAGGGCGAAUGAGUCGCAGGGGGUAGACCCGAAACUGCGUGAUCUACCCAUGGGCAGAAUGAAGCGCCCCUAACCGGGCGCGGAGGUUCGAAGCCGUGAACGUUGAAAAGUUCUGGCAUGACCUGUGGGGAGGAGUAAAAGUCUAAUCAAACGCAGAGAUAGCUGGUUCUCCCCGAAAACGCUUGAGGGCGUGUCUUGGGAAACUACAUCACGGGGGUAGAGCUACUGAAUGGAUCGUGGGGCCCACCAGGCUACCGCCUCCAAUCAAACUCCGAAUACCGUGAUGACUAUCCCGGGAAAAAGACUGUGGGUGAUAAUGUCCACGGUCAAAAGGGAAACAACCCAGACCGUCAGCUAAGGUCCCGAAUGAUGUCUAAGUGCGUAAGGAAGUUGGAUUUCACAGACAGCGGGGAUGUUGGCUUAGAAGCAGCCACCAUUUAAAAAGUGCGUAAUAGCUUACCCGUCGAGAAAUCCGGCACCGAUAAUGAACGGGACUAAGACAUCAACCGAAGCUGCGGCUGCAUAAAGGCGCGAGUCUUUAUGCGGGGUAGGGGAGCGCUGAUAGGCAGAUACAAGGCGUACCGUGAGGAGCGCUGCUGGGCCUAUCAGGUGAGUAUGCCGGUUUGAGUAACGAUAAUGAGGGUGAAAAUCCCUCACGCCGUAAGCCUAAGGUUUCCUGGGGAAGGUAAAUCCGCCCAGGGUUAGUCGGACCCUAAGGCCAGGCCGAAAGGCGUAGCCGAUGGACAGCAGGUUAAUAUUCCUGCACUCCGUGCAAAGGUCGAAGCGUGCGUGCGUUUGGUCGAUCCACAGCCCACGAUUAGGUUCGAGGGUGCCCGAGAGGGCGAGGCCGAUUUGUUGCUGAAGUGUGGUUAGACGGAACCGAGAAAAGCGUACGUGGACGAUGUACGGACCCGUACUAAAACUGACACAGGUAGGCGAGGAGAGUAUCCUCAGGCGCUCGAGAGAACGGUCCUUAAGGAACUAGGCAAAUUAACCCCGUAACUCCGGGAGAAGGGGUCCCUUCUGCUUGUAGCAAUACGCGCAGAGGGCGCAGAGAAACGGCAGCGGCGACUGUUUAUCAAAAACACAGGUCUCUGCAAACUCGCAAGAGGACGUAUAGAGACUGACGCCUGCUCGGUGCGGGAAUGUUAAGGAAGGCGGUCAAGGGGUUCGCCCCUGAAGCUGGCGACCGAAGCACCCGUAAACGGCGGCCCUAACUAUGAGGGUCCUAAGGUAGCGAAGUUCCUUGUCGGGUAAGUUCCGACGCGCAUGAAUGGCGAAACGACUGCUGCACUGUCUCAAGGACCGACUCGGUGAAAUAGGACUUGUGGUGAAGAUACCACAUACCCGCGGCAAGACGGAAAGACCCCGUGAACCUUUACUGUAGCCUGAUAGUGGAGCCGGUUAACACAUGCGUAGGAUAGGUGGGAGGCUUUGAUCCAGCGGUUUCGGCUGCUGGGGAGCCGUCGUUGAAAUACCACCCUUGUAUUAUUCGUCUCCUCACCUCGACCCGUGAAGCCGGGCGGGGGACAUUGUUAGGUGGGCAGUUUGACUGGGGCGGUCUCCUCCCAAAAAGUACCGGAGGAGUGCAAUGGUCGGCUCAGCACGGUUGGCAAUCGUGCGCAGAGCGCAAGGGUAUAAGCCGGCUUAACUGCGAGUCAGACAUGACCAGCAGAUGCGAAAGCAGGCCCUAGUGAUCCGGUAGUCCCGUGUGGAAGGGCUAUCGCUCAUCGGACAAAAGGUACUCCGGGGAUAACAGGCUGAUCUCCACCGAGCGUCCAUAGCGGCGUGGAGGUUUGGCACCUCGAUGUCGGCCCAUCGCAUCCUGGGGCUGAAGGCGGUCCCAAGGGUUCGGCUGUUCGCCGAUUAAAGCGGUACGCGAGCUGGGUUCAGACCGGCGUGAGCCAGGUCGGUCCCUAUCUGUCGUGGGCGCACCAGAUUUGACGGGAGACAACCUUAGUACGAGAGGAUUGGGUUGUAGCAACCCCUAGUGCACCAGUUGUCCUGCUAAGGGCACCGCUGGGUAGCUACGUUGCGAAAGGAUAAACGCUGAAAGCAUCUAAGCGUGAAGCCCCCCCGAAGAUGAGAUCUGGAUGUCUCUUCGGAGACGAGAGACCCCUCGUAGACCACGAGGUUGAUAGGCCGGGCGUGUAAGGCCAGAGAUGGCUUCAGCUAACCGGUACUAAUGGUCGAUUGCUUGAUCAC
This 2914-nucleotide ribosomal RNA is filed under the name Planctomycetia bacterium. RNAcentral describes it as "23S ribosomal RNA". It matches the Rfam family "Bacterial large subunit ribosomal RNA". The record is from RNAcentral. Lineage: Bacteria; Pseudomonadati; Planctomycetota; Planctomycetia.